This is an RNA transcript of Wyeomyia smithii (pitcher-plant mosquito), 1221 nucleotides long. It is a transcript of the gene named alcohol dehydrogenase 2-like, with no coding region annotated. The record is from RefSeq and is a predicted model, not a curated record. The transcript is spliced from 6 exons. NCBI's taxonomy places the organism in Eukaryota, Metazoa, Arthropoda, Insecta, Diptera, Culicidae.
GUAUCUAACGAGUAAUUGUCUAGGAUAUUGCGUUUAGUUACAAUUCACUUCUCGAGCGGUACAGAACAUUGCUUGUAAGACUAGAAUGUUACUGAAAAAUAAGACUGCUAUAAUAACUGGAGGUGCGAGUGGCAUUGGAUUUGCAACAGCAGAAGAAUUACUCAAACAUGGUGUUUCGAAGAUUCUCCUUAUUGAUUUGAACGAAAGCUUGAACCCAGAUUUGAAAGCCCAACUGAAUGCAUGUAACCAGAAUGCCGAGAUAUUUUACGCCCAGUGUGAUGUAUCGAAUAAGUUGCAACUUGAAAAGAUACUGCGUCAGGAUGCUAUCCAAUGGCUAGGAUCGAUCGACAUUCUAGUGAAUUCGGCUGGAGUACUAGAAGGUUCCGCAGCGCACUGCAUUGGAGUCAACCUAAUUGGAUUGAUUGAAUGUACGUUCAUCACGAUUGACCUUAUGACGAAGGAGAAAUCAGGAACGGGUGGAUUUAUAGUGAAUAUUUCGUCAAUUGCCGGAUUGGAACCGUACCCUAUUGCCGUUGUUUACACGGCUUCCAAAUUUGGAGUAACCGGAUUCACCAGAAGUUUGGGGACCGAUUUGCUGUAUAAUAGAACAGGUGUAAAGUUAGCUGUUGUUUGUCCUGGGGCUACUGAAACAAAAAUGAUCCAAGAAGCAGGAGAUCAUAUGUGUACAUACCCUUGGAUGAUGCCUGCUGCUCGAGAGUUACUAGCCAAGUUUACUAUGCAACAACCAAGUGCGGUUGGAAAGUGUGUUGUGAAGGCAAUCACCGAAGGUGAGACGGGAUCAAUCUGGGUAGCAUCAGAAGAUAAAAUAAUUCCAAUACAAACCGAGCAGUGUAAAUUCAAAUUUUAACGAAAGUUGUCUACGUAUCUUCAGUUGCCAUUCUCGACAGUUUCGAAACCACGAGCUGUACACUGAAAAAUAUGAAUCCUUCGUGAUUUGAGAAAGCACGGCUCUUUUUGAAUUUUAUCAGAAAAUUCACUUUCGACAUAGGGUAUCGGCUUUAUUAUCGUCAGGUUUUACUUAUUAUAGUCCAGGGAGUAAAUGAUGUCCUAGAGCGUUAAUGUUUUUGCAAAAUAAUUUUUAAGGGAAAUUCAACUCUUUUGAGUAUUAAUAUGAUUUUUUUUUCUUCAAUUCCGGAUAUUAUUUACAUUUGUGACAUUUUUCUUUUUGUCGAUUCUAUCUAGAAAUGCCAAAUUUCAUGC